GCCUGGCGGGCUCAGUCAGUAGAGCAUGUGACUCUUGAUCUUGGGGUCGUGAGUUCAAGCCCCAUGUUGGGUG
RNAcentral lists this transfer RNA (73 nucleotides) under Canis lupus familiaris (dog). It matches the Rfam family "tRNA". From Rfam's summary of the family: Transfer RNA (tRNA) molecules are approximately 80 nucleotides in length. Their secondary structure includes four short double-helical elements and three loops (D, anti-codon, and T loops). Further hydrogen bonds mediate the characteristic L-shaped molecular structure. tRNAs have two regions of fundamental functional importance: the anti-codon, which is responsible for specific mRNA codon recognition, and the 3' end, to which the tRNAs corresponding amino acid is attached (by aminoacyl-tRNA synthetases). tRNAs cope with the degeneracy of the genetic code in two manners: having more than one tRNA (with a specific anti-codon) for a particular amino acid; and 'wobble' base-pairing, i.e. permitting non-standard base-pairing at the 3rd anti-codon position. Lineage: Eukaryota; Metazoa; Chordata; Mammalia; Carnivora; Canidae. RNAcentral also lists the same sequence under 1 other name. The record is from Rfam by way of RNAcentral.